Molecule: ribosomal RNA, 446 nt
Filed under: uncultured bacterium
Lineage: Bacteria
Description: partial 16S ribosomal RNA
Rfam family: Bacterial small subunit ribosomal RNA
Source: RNAcentral
CCUACGGGUGGCUGCAGUCGAGAAUCAUUCACAAUGGGGGAAACCCUGAUGGUGCGACGCCGCGUGGGGGAAUGAAGGUCUUCGGAUUGUAAACCCCUGUCAUGUGGGAGCAAAUUAAAAAGAUAGUACCACAAGAGGACGAGACGGCUAACUCUGUGCCAGCAGCCGCGGUAAUACAGAGGUCUCAAGCGUUGUUCGGAAUCACUGGGCGUAAAGCGUUCGGAGGCGGUUUCGUAAGUCGUGUGUGAAAGGCGCGGGCUCAACCCGCGGACGGCACAUGAUACUGCGAGACUAGAGUAAGGGAGGGGGAACCGGAAUUCUCGGUGUAGCAGUGAAAUGCGUAGAUAUCGAGAGGAACACUCGUGGCGAAGGCGGGUUCCUGGACAUUAACUGACGCUGAGGCACGAAGGCCAGGGGAUCGAAAGGGAUUAGAUACCCGGGUAGUC